UGGGGAAUAUUGGACAAUGGGCGAAAGCCUGAUCCAGCCAUGCCGCGUGUGUGAAGAAGGUCUUCGGAUUGUAAAGCACUUUAAGUUGGGAGGAAGGGCAGUAAGCUAAUACCUUGCUGUUUUGACGUUACCAACAGAAUAAGCACCGGCUAACUCUGUGCCAGCAGCCGCGGUAAUACAGAGGGUGCAAGCGUUAAUCGGAAUUACUGGGCGUAAAGCGCGCGUAGGUGGUUCGUUAAGUUGGAUGUGAAAUCCCCGGGCUCAACCUGGGAACUGCAUACAAAACUGGCGAGCUAGAGUAGGGCAGAGGGUGGUGGAAUUUCCUGUGUAGCGGUGAAAUGCGUAGAUAUAGGAAGGAACACCAGUGGCGAAGGCGACCACCUGGGCUCAUACUGACACUGAGGUGCGAAAGCGUGUGGAGCAAACAGGAUUAGAUACCCUGGUAGUCCACGCCGUAAACGAUGUCAACUAGCCGUUGGAAUCCUUGAGAUUUUAGU
RNAcentral lists this ribosomal RNA (497 nucleotides) under uncultured Pseudomonadota bacterium. Its description in RNAcentral is "bacterial SSU rRNA". It matches the Rfam family "Bacterial small subunit ribosomal RNA", at positions 355 to 844 of the family's 1533-position model. The record is from RNAcentral. Lineage: Bacteria; Pseudomonadati; Pseudomonadota.